This 253-nucleotide ribosomal RNA is filed under the name uncultured bacterium. RNAcentral describes it as "partial 16S ribosomal RNA". It matches the Rfam family "Bacterial small subunit ribosomal RNA", at positions 524 to 776 of the family's 1533-position model. The record is from RNAcentral.
GACAGAGGGUGCAAACGUUGUCCGGAUUUAUUGGGCGUAAAGAGCGUGUAGGCGGCCAGGUAGGUCCGCUGUGAAAGUCCGAGGCUCAACCUCGGAAUGUCGGCGGAAACCCUCUGGCUAGAGUCCGGAAGAGGAGAGUGGAAUUCCCGGUGUAGCGGUGAAAUGCGCAGAUAUCGGGAAGAACACCCGUGGCGAAGGCGGCUCUCUGGAACGGUACUGACGCUGAGACGCGAAAGCGUGGGGAGCGAACAGG